AGUGAACGCUGGCGGUAGGCCUAACACAUGCAAGUCGAACGGCAGCACAGUAAGAGCUUGCUCUUACGGGUGGCGAGUGGCGGACGGGUGAGGAAUACAUCGGAAUCUACUUUUUCGUGGGGGAUAACGUAGGGAAACUUACGCUAAUACCGCAUACGACCUACGGGUGAAAGCAGGGGAUCUUCGGACCUUGCGCGAUUGAAUGAGCCGAUGUCGGAUUAGCUAGUUGGCGGGGUAAAGGCCCACCAAGGCGACGAUCCGUAGCUGGUCUGAGAGGAUGAUCAGCCACACUGGAACUGAGACACGGUCCAGACUCCUACGGGAGGCAGCAGUGGGGAAUAUUGGACAAUGGGCGCAAGCCUGAUCCAGCCAUACCGCAUGGGUGAAGAAGGCCUUCGGGUUGUAAAGCCCUUUUGUUGGGAAAGAAAAGCAGCAGGUUAAUACCCCGCUGUUCUGACGGUACCCAAAGAGUAAGCACCGGCUAACUUCGUG
This 492-nucleotide ribosomal RNA is filed under the name uncultured bacterium. RNAcentral describes it as "partial 16S ribosomal RNA". It matches the Rfam family "Bacterial small subunit ribosomal RNA", at positions 29 to 507 of the family's 1533-position model. The record is from RNAcentral.